AAGAGAAACAAAACGGAAUUAGAAGAAAAAAAAAACAAGAGAAGAGAAGAGAAGAGAAAUUUAGGCUAGAAACAAGGAAAAAGCUACGAUUUUGGGAGGAGAAAAAGGCAGCCCAAAACGUUACCAAACAGUCCCUAAGUUUCAGCUGCGCUAAAGGAAAUUCCGAGGCAAGUUUUGGCGAGUUUUGGUGAAUUUCGGGAAAGGUUUAAGAGACGACGAGGCGAGCAUAGUUAAGAGUAAUCCGUAAGAGGUACAGAUGAUUGGUUUGCUGAUCCGCUCGCUUAGGACAUCCACCAUGUUGGUCGACAGUUCUCCUUUGUCCGGAGCCCUAUUUUGGUACUGACACUUUCUGUUGUAUAUAUAUAUAUACAUUGUUCAGGGUAC
This is a long non-coding RNA of Solanum dulcamara, 384 nucleotides long. RefSeq lists it as uncharacterized. NCBI's taxonomy places the organism in Eukaryota, Viridiplantae, Streptophyta, Magnoliopsida, Solanales, Solanaceae. The transcript has 4 exons. The record is from RefSeq and is a predicted model, not a curated record.